RNAcentral lists this transfer RNA (90 nucleotides) under Puniceicoccales bacterium. RNAcentral's name for it is "tRNA-Ser". It matches the Rfam family "tRNA". From Rfam's summary of the family: Transfer RNA (tRNA) molecules are approximately 80 nucleotides in length. Their secondary structure includes four short double-helical elements and three loops (D, anti-codon, and T loops). Lineage: Bacteria; Pseudomonadati; Verrucomicrobiota; Opitutia; Puniceicoccales. The record is from RNAcentral.
GGAGAGAUGGCAGAGUGGACGAUUGUGCCUGACUCGAAAUCAGGUGUGGAGGUAACUCCACCGAGGGUUCGAAUCCCUCUCUCUCCGCCA